AAGAAAUUAAUUAAUAUUAUAAUAUUGGUUUGUCAUAUCAAAAUAAUCUUUUUAAAAGAUAUUUCUUA
Molecule: transfer RNA, 68 nt
Filed under: Trapezia tigrina
Lineage: Eukaryota; Metazoa; Arthropoda; Malacostraca; Decapoda; Trapeziidae
Description: tRNA-Asp
Source: RNAcentral